UACGUAGGGAGCGAGCGUUGUCCGGAAUUAUUGGGCGUAAAGAGCUCGUAGGCGGCUUGGUAAGUUGGAUGUGAAACCUCCAGGCUCAACCUGGAGUCGCCAUCCAAUACUGCCAUGGCUAGAGUCCGGUAGGGGCCCACGGAAUUCCUGGUGUAGCGGUGAAAUGCGCAGAUAUCAGGAGGAACACCGGUGGCGAAGGCGGUGGGCUGGGCCGGCACUGACGCUGAGGAGCGAAAGCGUGGGGAGCGAACAGG
This 254-nucleotide ribosomal RNA is filed under the name uncultured bacterium. RNAcentral's name for it is "partial 16S ribosomal RNA". It matches the Rfam family "Bacterial small subunit ribosomal RNA", at positions 524 to 776 of the family's 1533-position model. The record is from RNAcentral.